GUUUUGUCGUCAUUGUCGCCCAAUUCAAAAUAAUUCCACACAAGAGACAUCUCUACACACAGCACGAAAUCCAUGUGUUUUCCAUCCCUCUUUUGAUUGACAGGAUAUAAUCGGCCGUGAUUAUCGGAUGUUUUUAUACUAUGGAUGGAUGAAAAAUAGCCUUUCGGUAUCGACCGAUACAUCGGUGCAUCUCUAGUUAAAACUAAGAAGGUAAUGGUUAAUAGCAUAUUUCAUUUUAAUUGCCCCCCCCCCCUUUUUUUUACUGAAGCAGCCUUAUAUGGUCUUGCAUGUGUACAAAUAUUAUAUUUGUAUGUGUAUGUUGUAUUUCCUACUGUCGAUAAGGAAAGGGAAAAGGAGACUUCAAUUCAGUUCCAUUUUAUUUGUAUAGUGCUUUUUACAAUGGAUGUUGUCUCAAAGCAGCUUUACAGAAAUGCAUAAACACGGGAUACAGAUUUUAAAUGUGUGAAUUUAUCCCAAUUGAGCAAGCUGGUGGAGAAAACUCCGAUGUUAAGAGUAAGAAACCUUGAGAGACCCCUGGUAUAACUAGAAAAUGCUGAAAAUUGAAAGUCCCAGGUAUCCCAAGGGUUCCUGUAUAAGGCUGUCCUUAAACUUCUCCGAAGUGCAAGUUUCUUCUAAGUCCCAGGUAUCCCAGGAGCCUAAUACCUUAUAGCCUAAUGCUUAUUUAUUCAGAAACAGAAGUAAGUAAAUACAAAAUGCUGCUUUCAAUUUUAACUCGGACAGCGUGCUUUCAGUUGAUGGACGACCCCAUUUAUUUUUUGAUGAGCUGCAGAGUUUUGUGUGUGUAUGUAUGUGUGUGUGUGUGUGUGUGUAUAUGUAUAUAUAUAUAUAUAUAUAUAUAUAUUUGAAUUUAAUAUAUAAUAGUUUUAUUCACAAGUGUCAUUUGUGAUUUUUAUUUGCUAUGUAAGAACAUUUAGAUCAAGCAAUGUCCAGAAAUAGGUGUAUGAAUUUUCUCACAAAAGUCAUGGUGACCAGUUUUGUCUUGUUUUACCUCUCUUGCAACUUCAAUUAUUGGGCACCA
Molecule: long non-coding RNA, 1039 nt
Organism: Ictalurus punctatus (channel catfish)
Lineage: Eukaryota; Metazoa; Chordata; Actinopteri; Siluriformes; Ictaluridae
Source: Ensembl